RNAcentral lists this transfer RNA (70 nucleotides) under Bacteroidales bacterium. Its description in RNAcentral is "tRNA-Leu". It matches the Rfam family "tRNA", at positions 9 to 64 of the family's 71-position model. From Rfam's summary of the family: Transfer RNA (tRNA) molecules are approximately 80 nucleotides in length. Their secondary structure includes four short double-helical elements and three loops (D, anti-codon, and T loops). Further hydrogen bonds mediate the characteristic L-shaped molecular structure. tRNAs have two regions of fundamental functional importance: the anti-codon, which is responsible for specific mRNA codon recognition, and the 3' end, to which the tRNAs corresponding amino acid is attached (by aminoacyl-tRNA synthetases). tRNAs cope with the degeneracy of the genetic code in two manners: having more than one tRNA (with a specific anti-codon) for a particular amino acid; and 'wobble' base-pairing, i.e. permitting non-standard base-pairing at the 3rd anti-codon position. Lineage: Bacteria; Pseudomonadati; Bacteroidota; Bacteroidia; Bacteroidales. The record is from RNAcentral.
GGUGGAAUUGGUAGACACGAAGGACUUAAAAUCCUUUGGCCAUUGCGGCCGUGCCGGUUCGAGUCCGGCC